UUGAUGUUAUUUCAGACUUGAAGUUUAGCUGUCUACCUGGCACAAAUACCAAGAUUACAAAUGACAUUAUAAAUGGAGCCCCCAGAGAUAUACAAGUGAUACUCGGUACUAAAAUACAAAGUUCUGACAGUCAAGAAAAGUAAAGACACAGAUUGCAACGUACAGAUUACAGUUUACAAAUUACAGUGUACAGAUUGCAGUCAAGUCACAGGUAUUUUUCAGGUAACCAACAGACAGUUUAACCAAGACCCAGCUUAGUGUAGUCAUGGUAACUGGGAGACAGUUUAUCAAGGGAUAGGUCUUCAAUUACCUACUUGUAGAGGAUGUUGUACCGCCUGUUUUGCUUGUAAAGGACUUUAAAGAUGAAAGAUGAUGGAGUCAGGGGGUUAGAUAUCAGCAUUACAAAACAUGUGUAUGCAAGUACUAGUCCAGAGCUCCUCAGUCCCAUUGCAAUUUUACUCCUCACUAGAAAUGGAGAUGGAGAUGUUAACCUGCUGAUUCCCUCUCAGGAUAUGGAGUUACUAUCUCAGCAUAAAGUUCACAUGAUCUCUAGUCCAUCUACUGCUAAUUCCGGCCAGCCGUUACAUGAAAAUGUCCAGCUACUAGUUCUUGUGACUAAUUUGACAAAUAAAUCAGAGGUGUAAUCAAAGUUUACUGAAUAUGGAUAGACAGGUAUUCUGUCAUAGUGUUCGGAAAUGGUGCUGCAGUACAAACCAAAACCGUGCCACAGUCUGUUUUCAGCAAAAUGGACAAAUUCUGUUGUUGUGCAACUUGUGGAAAGCUAUUUUGGGAACUUUGAUACAUUUUGAACAUGUUUGUGAACUGUUCUCAUUCUUACAUGUUCUAGGAAUGCAGUCCAAUGGUCCAACAGUUUAUGAGAAGUUGAAUGAGAAUUUCACUGAUAAAUGAAAGACAAUUUAUAGGGAUAGAACUUGAAUACUUAAAUGUAACAUUUUACGUUGCAAGAGUUUGUGUGAUUAUUCUUUGUAUAUAAUACAAUACCAUUUAUGUUAUACAUCAUUUUAAAGACUAUUAAGGGUGGUAUUAGAACAUUUUCAAAUUUUCAAAAUAAUUCACUAGUUUGAUUUUGAAUUUAUUGUCAAAAAAUUAUUUUGAUCAGAAUGUUUUCCAUUCAUUUUGUACAUCAGAAAGUCUUAAAAUUUCAAGUUUUUAUUUAUUUGUUGACAGGCUAUUGUAAAUUUUUCACAAUUUCUUUGCUAACUUUAAAGCAACAUUUCCUUUUAAAAAUUCUGUGUAAUUUCAGGGAAAAACGCAGUUUCUACUUUUCAUUUGUUUGAAUUUGGAGAAAAAUACAAAAGUUAAUUUUCAGUUAAAUUUACUUUUUCAAAGGUAUCUUAAAAUUCCGAAGAUUCAUACCACCUUCUGUAGAAAGAUGUAAAGCUUUUACCAGGAUAUUGAUAAAUGAAGCUGAAAUUACAGAAAUACCUUAUGGCUUUAAUGGAUCAAGUACUACCAGAAAUUAAAUUUUAUUAUUUUUAUGCCCCCGAAGGGAGGCAUAUUAGUUUUCAACUGUCCGUCCGUUCGUUCGUCACGUUAACUUUUUGCAUGAAGGCCAACGUUAACUUUUGCAUGAAGGCACUUUACUCACUAACGACUCCAUCCAGGACCUUCAAACUUCACAUGCUAAUAGUACUUACUGAAUUCACGACCCCUACUGACUUUAGGGUCACCACGUCAAAGGAUAAGGUCACAGUGGCCAAUGUAAACUUUUUGCAUUAAGGCACUUUACCCGCGAACCACUACACCCAGGACCUUCAAACUUCACAUGCUGAUAGUACUUACUGAAUUCACGACCCCUACUGACUUUGGGGUCCCCGUGUCAAAGGUCAAGGUCACAGGGGCCAAUGUUAACUUUUUGCAUGAAGGCACUUUACCCACGAACCACUGCACCCAGAACCUUUAAACUUCACAUGCUGAUAAUACUUAAUUAUUGAGUACACAACCCCUACUGACUUUGGGGUCACCAGGUCAAAGGUCAAGGUCACCAGGUCAAAGGUCAAGGCUCUGUGGGGGCAUUUGUCAGCAUUAGUGACAGCUCUUGUUGUAAAAUAAAAUAGAAACUUGAUUUUAUUUUAUUUUUAUUUUCAUGUUUUUCUCUACACUAUUUCUAGUUGAGACUUUGUUUCCCUCCAGAUGUACACUUCUUUCAAGUUGAAAGAGCUCUUAAACAUGUCACCAAAGUUGGUGUAUAACAAACUUGUAUUGAUUGUAGUUUGAGCUGCAGUCUGCCCACUUAGCUCAAUAGAAACAGCUUAGAUCUAUGGAUCACAGGGCUGUGAGUUGGAUCCCAGGACAAGGAGUACAUUCUCCGUGACGAUUUGAUAAAAGACGUUUUGUUGGAAAACAUUUGUCCUCCACCACUGAUUCAUGUGGGGAAGUUGGCAGUUACUGUGGAGAACAGGUUUGUUUGAGCACUGGUUAGGUUAACAGCUGCCAUUACAUAACUGAAAUACUGAUAAUCACGAAACUUGAUAGGGAGGUUGAUCAUUACCAGCAGAUAACCCCUAUUGAUUUUGAGAUCACUUGGUCAAAAGUCAAGGUCACAGUGAUCCGGGACAGUUAAACCCUUUCCGGACAAUAACUUGAGAACGCUUGGGCCUAGAAUCACAAAACUUGAUAGGGAGGUUGAUCAUGACCAGCAGACGACCCCUAUUGAUUUUGAGAUCAGUAAGUCAAAGGUCAAGGUCACUGAUCCGGAACAGCUAAACCGUUUCCGGCUAAAAACAGAUUACUGCAUGCAUCAAGAGGGGGCAUUUUGUGUUCUACGAGCUCUUGUAAAAUUUUAGGUACCAUCUCAAUAAAGCAUUAUAUGUUUUGAAAUAAUUGGAAGUUACCUUAAAUUUGGUAUGUAGCUGUUGGCAUUUAGUAUGAAAUAUUUGGCAUUUAGCAAUGGGCCUUAGGAAGAAUGGAUGGUCCUCCACCGCUGAUUUAUGUGGAGAAGUUGGCAGUUACUUGCGGAGAACAGGUUUGUACUGGUACAGAAUCCAGGAACACUGGUUAGGUUAACUGCCUGCUGUUACAUAACUGAAUUACUGUUGAAAAACUGCAUUAAACCCAAAACAAACAAAGAUCAAACUGUGCAUAAAAAUGUUCUCUAGUCAUUUUACUGAACCUUGUAAUCUAUGGGCAUAAAAAUACUCUCUGGUGAUUUCCCAUGAUCAUCUACAUCCAUUGUCAUUCUUCAUUUACCUCUGCUUCUUGCAAGGAAGUUGUCAGUUACUUAUGGAGAACAAGAUUGCUGAAUACAAAAGCUAGUUGUUAAAACAGAACUGAAACAGGGUAAGGCAUGUCAUAUGAAAGAACCAUGUGUCUGUAUAAGGUUACACUAGGGAUCUGUCAUGUGAUGCAUUGUAUAUAUAUAUUGUAUGUGGGGGAUGGGAGGCACUAAUUUCCAGAGGAAGAUUUCCCAGUAAGGGAAUAUAUCGUGUUACGUAUGUAAGUAACGAGCUCUGAAAAGCUCUUGCUCAGAGGAUGAGGACUUAAUGCACAAUAAACUUAAUAAAAUGA
Mercenaria mercenaria is the source of this 3528-nucleotide long non-coding RNA. RefSeq lists it as uncharacterized. The record is from RefSeq and is a predicted model, not a curated record. NCBI's taxonomy places the organism in Eukaryota, Metazoa, Mollusca, Bivalvia, Venerida, Veneridae. The transcript is spliced from 5 exons.